GCUUUCUGUUUCUUUAAGUUGGAAGAGCUUUCCUCUCCAUCAUCUCAUGUGCUGUCUCAUUCCUGUUUUACAGAUGAGCACACUGGAUUUCAGAUGAGCAGAGUGGUUCAGUGAUUUGCUGAAGGCAGCACAGCUUCCAAGGGUCCGCACUCCGGUCUCUACAUGCGUAACUGAGUGCUGCAGUGAGGACACAUCAGUCAGUAUCUGUGAGGAGGAAGAGGCUGACCUCUCACGUAAGAAGCAGGAGGAUGGUGAUCUAGAACAUUCUUCUGGAGGUCCUAAGGUCCUGCAGCUAAGCACAAUCGCCUCUAGAAGAAGAUGUCUUCCUUCUCUGAAAUCCUCCUGGAGCUGCGAUGGCGACCUGGAAGGAAC
RNAcentral lists this long non-coding RNA (372 nucleotides) under Cavia porcellus (domestic guinea pig). RNAcentral describes it as "lncRNA (ENSCPOG00000037009.1)". The record is from RNAcentral. Lineage: Eukaryota; Metazoa; Chordata; Mammalia; Rodentia; Caviidae.